UACCAGCUCUCCGAGUGGUAGGGAUGAUUAUUGGGCUUAAAGCGUCCGUAGCCGGCUUAGCAAGUCUCCUGUUAAAUUCAGCGACCUAAUCGUUGAGCCGCGGGAGACACUACUAGGCUAGGAGGCGGGAGAGGCCGACGGUAUUCUCGGGGUAGGGGUGAAAUCCUAUAAUCCCGGGAGGACCACCAGUGGCGAAGGCUGUCGGCUAGAACGCGCUCGACGGUGAGGGACGAAAGCUGGUGGAGCGAACCGGAUUAGAUACCCGGGUAGUCCCAGCUGUAAACGAUGCGGGCUAGGUGUUGGGGUGGCUACGAGCCACUUCAGUGCCGCAGGGAAGCCAUUAAGCCCGCCGCCUGUGGAGUACGGCCGCAAGGCUGAAACUUAAGGAAUUGGCGGGGAGCACCACAAGGCGUGAAGCUUGCGGUUC
This 427-nucleotide ribosomal RNA is filed under the name uncultured archaeon. RNAcentral describes it as "bacterial SSU rRNA". It matches the Rfam family "Archaeal small subunit ribosomal RNA", at positions 474 to 903 of the family's 1478-position model. The record is from RNAcentral.